AUUUAUAUAGUUUAUAAAAAACAAUACAUUUUCAUUGUAAAAAAAAGAAAAAUUUCUUUAUAAAUU
Molecule: transfer RNA, 66 nt
Filed under: Corynis lateralis
Lineage: Eukaryota; Metazoa; Arthropoda; Insecta; Hymenoptera; Cimbicidae
Description: tRNA-Glu
Source: RNAcentral